GUGCCAGCAGCCGCGGUAAUACGUAGGGUGCGAGCGUUAAUCGGAAUUACUGGGCGUAAAGCGUGCGCAGGCGGUUUGUUAAGACCGAUGUGAAAUCCCCGGGCUCAACCUGGGAACUGCAUUGGUGACUGGCAAGCUAGAGUAUGGCAGAGGGGGGUAGAAUUCCACGUGUAGCAGUGAAAUGCGUAGAGAUGUGGAGGAAUACCCGAUGGCGAAGGCAGCCCCCUGGGCCAAUACUGACGCUCAUGCACGAAAGCGUGGGGAGCAAACAGGAUUAGAUACCCUGGUAGUCC
Molecule: ribosomal RNA, 293 nt
Filed under: uncultured microorganism
Description: partial 16S ribosomal RNA
Rfam family: Bacterial small subunit ribosomal RNA
Source: RNAcentral